AACGUAGGUCACAAGCGUUGUCCGGAAUUACUGGGUGUAAAGGGAGCGCAGGCGGGAAGACAAGUUGGAAGUGAAAUCCAUGGGCUCAACCCAUGAACUGCUUUCAAAACUGUUUUUCUUGAGUAGUGCAGAGGUAGGCGGAAUUCCCGGUGUAGCGGUGGAAUGUGUAGAUAUCGGGAGGAACACCAGUGGCGAAGGCGGCCUACUGGGCACCAACUGACGCUGAGGCUCGAAAGUGUGGGUAGCAAACAGG
Molecule: ribosomal RNA, 253 nt
Filed under: Faecalibacterium prausnitzii
Lineage: Bacteria; Bacillati; Bacillota; Clostridia; Eubacteriales; Oscillospiraceae
Description: partial 16S ribosomal RNA
Rfam family: Bacterial small subunit ribosomal RNA
Source: RNAcentral